UGGUGGAGUGAUCUGUCUGGUUAAUUCCGAUAACGAACGAGACCUCAGCCUGCUAAAUAGUUACCUGAAUUCUUGAAUUCUGCUGUAACUUCUUAGAGGGACUAUUGGUGUUUAGCCAAUGGAAGUUUGAGGCAAUAACA
This 140-nucleotide ribosomal RNA is filed under the name uncultured eukaryote. RNAcentral describes it as "partial 18S ribosomal RNA". It matches the Rfam family "Eukaryotic small subunit ribosomal RNA", at positions 1299 to 1458 of the family's 1831-position model. The record is from RNAcentral.